UUCACUAACCAACAAAAAAAGGCCACAAAAUUGAUUAGAGGCUUCCCAUCUGCCUGGAUCCCGAGCAUUCCAGCAGCUCUUUCGUUUGGUUUCUUUGAACAGAAGGAUCCUAUUUCAGAGACUGGGCGGCCUGUCUCCUGUCCGGAUCUAGACCAGAGUUAUCACGUGCUGUACGAGCUCAACCUGGGCUUCCACAAGUGACAACAUUUGUGAAAAUGUUUUAAAAAACAAACAAAAGUGAUUUUCGGCCUUAAUGGUAGUAGAAUGAGUUGUGUCUGCUACGUUUAGGUAAUUUUUUCACGGACUCUUGUAGUAGGCGCAGGUGGCUACAUGUAGUUCCCUAUUGGUGCGCUGUCAACCGUAUACCAAGCCAGAGACACGCCUCGAUGACCAAAACUAGGCCAGGGCAAAACGGUGAGGUGGUGCCGGUAGCGCCCAGCCAUUGUAGGAAGAUGACAAAAUGAAGAGAUUGUUUUCCUGUUAACUCUCAGCCUGUCCAGUGCCGCCGAUUUUGCAGAGCGACUGGUUACAGGGGACUGAGGAAGAAGCUUUGAGGCAUAAGUAUAGUGUGUUUAGAAGGUGGCUUUCUUGCUCCUGAGGAACACACAGCAGGAAGCAGCUGUAGUGGUUACUGCGACAAUGUUUAUCUCCUUGCCUGCAUUGUCCCUGCUCUGUCCCUUGGACAGAGUGGAUGAUGCGGAACUUGAGGUUAUGGGAAAUUCCUGUGGCAUAGCCUGAGGAGGAGAGUUCCCUGCUAUGUGGUCAGCAAGCAUUUUUGACCUCAUCCAUGAAUAAAAGCAGCUCUCCCUGUA
This is a long non-coding RNA of Phacochoerus africanus (Common warthog), 812 nucleotides long. RefSeq lists it as uncharacterized. The transcript is spliced from 2 exons. NCBI's taxonomy places the organism in Eukaryota, Metazoa, Chordata, Mammalia, Artiodactyla, Suidae. The record is from RefSeq and is a predicted model, not a curated record.